AGGAUUCCCUCAGUAGCGGCGAGCGAACAGGGAUGAGCCCAGCACUGAAUCCCGCGCCCGACACCGGACGCCGGGAAAUGUGGUGUUAGGGAGAGACGACAUGUCUCGAGUUCGUGCGGCGAGUCCAAGUCCUUCUUGAACGGGGCCACAGUCCAUAGAGGGUGCCAGGCCCGUAGUGACCGCUGCCGAUCGCGAGGUGAUCUCUCCUAAGAGUCGGGUUGCUUGAGAGUGCAGCCCUAAGUGGGUGGUAAACUCCAUCUAAGGCUAAAUAUGACCACUAGACCGAUAGCGAACAAGUACCGUGA
Molecule: ribosomal RNA, 305 nt
Filed under: Temnoscheila virescens
Lineage: Eukaryota; Metazoa; Arthropoda; Insecta; Coleoptera; Trogossitidae
Description: eukaryotic LSU rRNA
Rfam family: Eukaryotic large subunit ribosomal RNA
Source: RNAcentral